This is a long non-coding RNA of Populus euphratica (Euphrates poplar), 1600 nucleotides long. RefSeq lists it as uncharacterized. The record is from RefSeq and is a predicted model, not a curated record. The transcript is spliced from 2 exons. NCBI's taxonomy places the organism in Eukaryota, Viridiplantae, Streptophyta, Magnoliopsida, Malpighiales, Salicaceae.
GUGAAGAAACAAAAUUCUUGUAUCAAUAUAUUACAUAUGCUAGAAAUUGGAAUUUUGGGUGGUGAAGGGGCCAAGCUGCAUCUUAGAGAAGGGGAUUAGCUCCCCUUAAAUGUUUGCACUUCCCUCAUUUAAUCCUUGAAAAUUUCCACAAUUUUCAUAUAGUUCCAAACAAAGCUGCAUUGGGUGCCCCUCAUUAUUUUAAGUUUAAAAGAAAGUUCAUUAAAUGCUAUCAAAUAUAUUUAUUUUGUACUUUUAAUACAAGUUUAAUAUGUUAUUGAUAGUUGUUUUGUUUCUUAUUUGCAAAUCACACAACAAUAUGGAUAAUAAUUAACAUACAUCAUUGCAUUCACCUAAUUUUCAUUCUUUGCUUGACUCUUUUGAUGCUAUGUUUUUCCAAAAAAAUUAUUAUGUGAUCAUCUAUAAAUAUGUAUGUAUAUAUGCACAUAGAUAUUUAUAAAUAGCCCAUGGAUAAUAUGUAUAGAGUGCCAUACUCAUUUAUUCUCAUUCACUAGAAAAUCUAACUACCUGUAACAAAAAAAAUUACCUUUGCCACUAGUGGUGAUGGGCACUUUACUGACAUGUUCUUUAUUUAGUUUAUUUUACCAAAUGACAGCUGUAAAUAUGAUUUCAUUGUUAAAUAAAAUUUCUCUUGCUUGAGGAAAAAAUAGAAAAAAGAUCUGCGCUGCUUGUUUGUUUCUUGGUUAUUCCUAUUGGCAUGCUGCUGCCUCUCGUUCUGAUCUUCUGAUGUGUUGAGGAGGAUUGCGAAAUCAUAGUGUAAGGUAGUAAAUUUGUUUACUCAACAUGUUUUAGAUGUUGAAAUGAAAUAUUAAAUGGUAGUUCGACAUUAUGAAUGAACGUGCAAUGGCAAGGCAUCUUUGAGGUGAGAAUUAGUUACAGUGUUUUGAUUACAGAACUGCUCUCAAUAUUUCCUUUGGUGGAAUCUUUAUGAUGUUAUAUCAGCAUAUUGAUAUGCUGAUCAGUGGAGCUCAGGAAGAGAUACUGUAAAGGAAGUGCAACUAAAAUGAAAAUCAGCCUUACAAAACAGAAAGGUUCUAGGUUCUAGGUUCUAAAUGUUCAGAUAAAAUGGACAAAAUGAAGAGUGAAUCUUUGAGGUGAGAAUUAGUUACAGUGUUUUGAUUACAGAACUGCUCUCAAUAUUUCCUUUGGUGGAAUCUUUAUGAUGUUAUAUCAGCAUAUUGAUAUGCUGAUCAGUGGAGCUCAGGGAGAGAUACUGUAAAGGAAGUGCAACUAAAAUGAAAAUCAGCCUUACAAAACAGAAAGGUUCUAGGUUCUAAAUGCUCAGAUAAAAUGGACAAAAUGAAGAGUGAAUUCAGAUGCUAACAUGGAACGAUUAUCCUAGGAGUUUACAGACCAGAUUGACAGGGCCAAGUUUGAAAAGAAGUCCGCAAAGAAACUUGGAAGCAUCUCAUAUGAAGCAUGAAGUUACUUUUUUCUUGUUUUAAUUAUUUUCUUAGUUAAUUUUAGAUCAUAAUUAUUUGUUUCCUACUUAACUCGAGACUUUUAAUUUAAUUAGCAUUUUACUAUUUAGGAAUCCUAAUGCUAGAUGAAUUCUAUUAAUUAUGCAAGUUUUAAUUAGGAA